GGCUUGGUCGGGCGGUCCGCCUCACGGUGUGUACUGUCUGACUGAGUCUUACCUCUUGGUGAGCCGGCGUGCGCUUUAUUGUGUGCGUCGGGGAACCAGGACUUUUACCUUGAGAAAAUUAGAGUGUUCAAAGCAGGCCUAUGCCUGAAUACAUUAGCAUGGAAUAAUAGAAUAGGACGGUGGUCCUGUUUUGUUGGUUUCUGAAUCACCGUA
RNAcentral lists this ribosomal RNA (213 nucleotides) under uncultured fungus. Its description in RNAcentral is "partial small subunit ribosomal RNA". The stretch from base 91 to 213 matches the Rfam family "Eukaryotic small subunit ribosomal RNA", at positions 738 to 863 of the family's 1831-position model. The record is from RNAcentral. Lineage: Eukaryota; Fungi.